AUUGUAAUGACAGAGAUGGAAACAGCAUCCAGCAACAUGAAGAGUUUCUACAGGCAAAGGAUGAGCAAUAGAGUUGGCAUCACAAAGUCCAAGAAGAAAUCGCCCAAACUUGCAUCAGCUAUCGGCUGUGAUAUCACCCAGACAAGGACGCUCAUUUCUCAUGGCGCCCCGGAUCUUCAAGGUAGUGAUUUUUCUGCUCUGUUGUAUGUUUCUGUUACUUGUAAUUUUUUAGGGCCUGUUUAAUAUAGUUAUUGGAGUUUUUGGUGCUAUGCUGCUGGUUUUGAUAGAUGAUCAUGACAAACAUGAGGAACUGUUUAGGCAAUUUGACAUGAGCAUGGCAUAUGGACCGUGCCUUGGGAUGAUCCGGCUGGCACGAUGGGAGCGUGCUCAACGUUUAGGUCUUAACCCACCCAUAGAAAUUGAGGGUUUGAUGAAGGAUGGAAAGGUAAACUCAGAUUGCCUGUGGGAUGGCCGUGUUUAGAUGUUAUUAAUAGUAUGCUUGGUGAGAUAAUAGAAUCUGACGUAUUGCUAGUUGUGAUUUUCUUUUUGUAAUUUUCAUGUUCAGCCUCUAGCUGUGUUGUUAGUAUGUUUAUAUGUCUUGAUGAAUUAAUGAAUUUGCUGAUAUUAAUGGAGUGAUUUUCUUUGUGAUUAUCUGCACUCUGUAAUUCUGUUGUUUGAUGAUAAACAAUGCGUGCACAUUUUCAAUUUAGG
RNAcentral lists this unclassified non-coding RNA (711 nucleotides) under Hevea brasiliensis (rubber tree). Lineage: Eukaryota; Viridiplantae; Streptophyta; Magnoliopsida; Malpighiales; Euphorbiaceae. The record is from RNAcentral.